RNAcentral lists this long non-coding RNA (2488 nucleotides) under Sus scrofa (pig). RNAcentral describes it as "lncRNA (ENSSSCG00045002768.1)". The record is from RNAcentral. Lineage: Eukaryota; Metazoa; Chordata; Mammalia; Artiodactyla; Suidae.
CCAGAGUCUCUGCAAAGAGUGCUGUGUCUGGAGGGGCCUCAUCUGGUCCUUUUGCUGGUGAACUCCCCAGGGAGGGACCACAGCCUCAGACCCGCACCCCAUUUCCCGGCCUGUCUGUCCUCUCUUCCAGCGUCACCGGCUCAGCUUCUUUCUUUCUCCUCUGGCCUCGCUCGGAAUGGAAAGCAGCUGGCCAGCCUCCUUCCUCCUGGUUCCCGAGUUCUGCCCUUUUGCGUUUUCCCUCCAUAGCUCGUGGCCCUUCGUUGCUUCCCCAGCAUCCAAGGUACCGUGUCAGCAGGAAAACUCAUUACCUGCCUGCCUGGUUCCGCUGUCUCAGCUCCUUCUUGGAAGCAGGUGGCGUCUCCAUGAUGAAUACAUUAAAGAGAAAAAAGAAAGAAAACAUUCCUGGGUUGUUGUUAGACCGGCUUCUUACUGGAGACACAGUCCUUCUUCAAGCAGGCUCUCACUCUCUGCUGAUGUUCUAUGCGUCUGCCAAAACCAUAUAAAAAUCAUUCAUGGAGAAAAGUUCCCAGCGCCAGCAGCCAAUGCAGUCCCUUCCCGAUCUGAAGUUUAACGCUGGCCUGGAGACUGGUGAGGACUGGAUGUUGGGGAAGAUCCUGAGUGAGGAAAGCUUGAAGGGAAGAUGAAUGUAUUCAGUGUCUAGCGGUCCCCGCCCCGGGGGGAAGGACGCACACCCUUCACUUCAUCACAGCUAAAGCUGAAAAGAGACACAAGUUUGUGAUAUUUCUCAGUGACGUAUACCUUCUCAUCUGUCUGGAGUUGUUUUCUGCCAACAAGGAGAUGCUGCUUAAAAAAGCCCAACCCAGGAAACCCUGGCAGUUUGCAGUCAUCAGUACUUAAUAUCUGCGCUUUCCCGGUACAAGACAUCCUGUCUCCCUUUCCUCCUUAAAAAGUAGGAGUUACAGAGAGGGUCAGAGGGAAAAAUGCUUGUCUGUAGUAAGGAAUGGCUUUGAUGAGACGCACACGCACACGCACUGCCCAUGGCAUUUAGAGUCACACAAACUUGCCUUGAGCCGACAGUCCUACGGUGACAUGGGCCAUAUAUUCAAGACCUUUGAGACAGAUAAGAAUUCUGAAGUCCCCCGUGAUUACACUGUGAGAGGAAGCCUUUGUUUAGCUCUUGGCAGUGUUCACAGGACAAUGGGCUGCCAGUGAUAUAUGCAAAUGUGUCCUUUCCCCAUUACUGGACGUGACCUUUAUGAUUAGAUUGGAAGAGCAACAUCAAUUCCUGGGUUAAUAGGACUUAUUGGCCUAAAGGGAGGGAGCAUGUUCUCCUGGCAAGCCUGAAAAACUCAGAAUCAGACCCACCAAAUUCUCAUCUUCAUCACAGCCCCAGGGUUCUUGUGUGGCUAGAGAAAUCCUUCACCUUCUGUGCCUUGUUUGUUCUUCGGAAAUCAGGGGAAAGCACCUUUCUCAGGAGCCUUAGGAGCCUUUAAUAAGAGUUUAAAAGUCAGAAGAGAUGGCAUAAAUGCUAUCACGAUGUUUCAGAUCUCCUUGCAGGACCCUUUUCAGAUUAUUCCUAACCUCCAGUGCCAUGGGCUAAUUCCAGCCAGCUUCAGAGACAACCGUAUCCAUAAGAAUCAUCAUGAAACAGAGUUAAGGGUUACUGAUUAUCCGCAAAAACUGUUCCAUUGCAGUUACACACAAAAAAUGCGAGAAGGUGACUUUCCUGGAGGAGUGAUACAGCCUCACCAAGCAGCACCCCUGCUCCAGCCACCCCUCAAAUCAGCUUUCCCCUCACUUCAGAAGCAAUGGAUUUAGCUGUAAUGUUACUGCUCUGUCUAUACUCAUCAUGGUUAUUUAUCUGCUCUGUGAUAACACUUUACAUUAAAAAAAAAAAGCCUUAAAAUAACUUGACCAGAUUCUCCAAGUCAACAUGUAUUAAAAAUCAGGGGGAGAAAGACAGACUAACUUAAAGACACAGAACAGAGCUAGCGUGUGCUGACAAGUACCUACAGUCACCGACAAAGCAAGCAGAGAUGGAUGUGGGUACAUUUUUUAGUAACUUCAAAAAAAAAAAAAAUUAAAAGUAGUGUUAUCAUUUAAAGGAAGAAGGUGUCAGAUCCUCUAACAAAGAGGGGACUCCCCAUACUUCUAGUUAAAAAAGUAGACAAGGUUUGCAACUGCAUGAAUAGUUACACACUUUACAUUUAACUGUUUGCAAAUGUAGAGCUCUACUGAAGUGUAAGGGUCAGAAGAAGCUGGCAUCACCUUGUUACAAUGUUCUCUGUGAAAGAGGCAUCUGGCUGGGUUUCCCACUCACAGGGCUAAAACGGUUAAGCAUUUAAUUGCUUAGAAAGUAAUCCUAUUAUUUCAGAUUUUUGUGCAUAAUGAAUUCUUUUUUUCCUCUAGUUUGAGAACUUAUGAAGGGCAAGUGAGAUCCUCUGGUAAAUUUAUUUUUGAAAAGGCCCUCGACAGAUGUUGUAACAUCUAAGCAGCAUCGGUCUCAGGCAGAGGCUCUGAGCAGCAG